GGGCUUGUACUGGUUUCGACGGGGGUUUUGAAGUCGAGGAAGCCAUCCGCGGGCUGGACCGCGUAUCAACCAGAACUUAAAUUUAAACGCUGACAACAAUACUGUUGCAGUAGCGGCCUGAGUGUCGCUCGUCGGCCCGGUUGUACCCGUACUCCCGGUCACCGGCGUCAUGAUUACGGGAAACGACACGGAUUAAGCUUUGCGUCCGCGGGCGUAACAUGAAGCUACUGAGCUUAUGAGGCUGCUGCCUGCCGCUUAAGCGAGGGAAUGGAAACAAGCAGCUGUGAUGGGAGAUGCCUUGAUGGAGGAGCUUUCGGACGCGGGUUCGAUUCCCGCCAGGUCCACCA
RNAcentral lists this transfer-messenger RNA (347 nucleotides) under Lachnospiraceae. RNAcentral describes it as "UBA1066 sp900317045 Standard tmRNA". It matches the Rfam family "transfer-messenger RNA". From Rfam's summary of the family: Bacterial tmRNA, also known as 10Sa RNA or SsrA, is named for its dual tRNA and mRNA-like properties. The record is from RNAcentral. RNAcentral also lists the same sequence under 1 other name. Lineage: Bacteria; Bacillati; Bacillota; Clostridia; Lachnospirales.